ACGGAAGGCAGCAGUGGGGAAUAUUGGGUAAUGGGGGCAACCCUGACCCAGCAACGCCGCGUGAAGGAAGAAGGCUUUCGGGUUGUAAACUUCCUUGACGAGGGACGAUAAUGACGGUACCUCGAAAACAAGCCACGGCUAACUACGUGCCAGCAGCCGCGGUAAUACGUAGGUGGCAAGCGUUGUCCGGAGUUACUGGGUGUAAAGGGCGCGUAGGCGGGAUAGCAAGUCAGGAGUGAAAUCUAUGGGCUUAACCCAUAAACUGCUUUUGAAACUGUUAUUCUUGAGUAUCGGAGAGGCAGGCGGAAUUCCUAGUGUAGCGGUGAAACGCGUAGAUAUUAGGAGGAACACCAGUGGCGAAGGCGGCCUGCUGGACGACAACUGACGCUGAGGCGCGAAAGCAUGGGGAGCAAACAGGAUUAGAUACCCUGGUA
This 434-nucleotide ribosomal RNA is filed under the name uncultured Oscillospiraceae bacterium. Its description in RNAcentral is "partial 16S ribosomal RNA". It matches the Rfam family "Bacterial small subunit ribosomal RNA", at positions 341 to 792 of the family's 1533-position model. Lineage: Bacteria; Bacillati; Bacillota; Clostridia; Eubacteriales; Oscillospiraceae. The record is from RNAcentral.